UGCUGGACGAAGUCUGACGGAGCACGCCGCGUGAGUGAUGAAGGUUUUCGGAUCGUAAAGCUCUGUUGUUAGGGAAGAACAAGUACCGUUCGAAUAGGGCGGUACCUUGACGGUACCUAACCAGAAAGCCACGGCUAACUACGUGCCAGCAGCCGCGGUAAUACGUAGGUGGCAAGCGUUGUCCGGAAUUAUUGGGCGUAAAGGGCUCGCAGGCGGUUUCUUAAGUCUGAUGUGAAAGCCCCCGGCUCAACCGGGGAGGGUCAUUGGAAACUGGGGAACUUGAGUGCAGAAGAGGAGAGUGGAAUUCCACGUGUAGCGGUGAAAUGCGUAGAGAUGUGGAGGAACACCAGUGGCGAAGGCGACUCUCUGGUCUGUAACUGACGCUGAGGAGCGAAAGCGUGGGGAGCGAACAGGAUUAGAUACCCUGGUAGUCCACGCCGUAAACGAUGAGUGCUAAGUGUUAGGGGGUUUCCGCCCCUUAGUGCUGCAGCUAACGCAUUAAGCACUCCGCCUGGGGAGUACGGUCGCAAGACUGAAACUCAA
RNAcentral lists this ribosomal RNA (543 nucleotides) under uncultured bacterium. Its description in RNAcentral is "bacterial SSU rRNA". It matches the Rfam family "Bacterial small subunit ribosomal RNA", at positions 369 to 904 of the family's 1533-position model. The record is from RNAcentral.